GUAAAGGGUUGGUCUUGCUUCUUAAUUCCUGAAUCCUAAUAAUGAAGGAAACGCUUCUUUCUGAACUUUACACUGAGGUUGACCUGAGAUUUGAAACAUUACAUACACUCAGCUGACAGUUUACUAGGUAUCAUACAGGUUCACAUAGCUACAGUUAUCAUGUACAGUUACUGAGUGGUGGAUCAUUUCUGAGAUAUUGAGUGGCAUAUCAUUUUUGAGUUAUGGAGUGGUGGAUCAUUUCUGAGUUACAGAGUGGUGGAUCAUUUCUGAGUUACCGAGUGGUGGAUCUUUUUUGAGUUACAGAGUGGUGGAUCUUUUUUGAGUUAUCAAGUGAGUGGUCAUUUCUGAGUUACCGAGUGGUGGAUUAUUUCUGAGUUACCAAGUGGUGGAUCAUUUCUGAGUUACAGAGUGGUGGAUCAUUUCUGAGUUACCGAGUGGUGGAUCAUUUCUGAGUUACAGAGUGGUGGAUCAUUUUUGAGUUACAGAGUGGUGGAACAUUUCUGAUUACACGAGUGGUGGAUCAUUUCUGAGUUACCGAGUGGUGGAUCAUUUCUGAGUUACUGAGUGGUGGAUCAUUUCUGAGUUACAGA
Long non-coding RNA from Ictalurus punctatus (channel catfish), 590 nucleotides. The record is from Ensembl. Lineage: Eukaryota; Metazoa; Chordata; Actinopteri; Siluriformes; Ictaluridae.